This is a long non-coding RNA of Triticum aestivum (bread wheat), 2993 nucleotides long. RefSeq lists it as uncharacterized. The record is from RefSeq and is a predicted model, not a curated record. The transcript is spliced from 8 exons. Lineage: Eukaryota; Viridiplantae; Streptophyta; Magnoliopsida; Poales; Poaceae.
UUACUUCCUGUACAGAGGUUCCACAUGCUGCUCUCUACUUUGUGCCACUGAAUGAAAGAUCAAUUUAUAUUCUUUUGAUUUCUGUCACAGGGUACGUAUAAGGUCUUGAUGUUAAGCUGAUGUAUUUUUUAUUGCUUACUAAACCCUCCUAAGUCCUAACUCAACCACUUGAAGUUAAACUGAAGUAUUAAUCAAUCUUGUUUGCUUUCUUGUACGUGUAUGCCUAAUUACCUUGCCCUAUAUGGCGAUCGAUGGCCAGCCAUAGAACGGUUCUGAUUUUUUAUUUAUUUUGUCAAGUUCAGUUCAUAUUUUUUUAUCCAUGUGGUGUUUAAACGAUGACUAUGUGGGGUUCAUAGAAAUUGUGAGGCAUAGGAUUGAUUCAAUCUCCAUUUUUUUUCCAAUUUGGUUCAGAGCUAUUACCUGCUACACCUACAGAUGUGAAAAGCUUACACUUUGCAAAUCCAAAAUUAAGCAGCAUAAUUUCUCACAGAUUAAUUAUAUACAAAUUGAGUGACAACUGCUGGGACAUGUGCUUCUUUUGACCUAUUAUCUUGCUUUUGCAUGAUUAAUGAAGGUCCAUAAGGCAGUUCUAUCUCUCUCGCUAACACAAUAAGUUUCUCUUUAACAAAAAAAUAAACAUAGGGCAGGAGCAUAGAUGGUGCACAGGAGAGCUGCCUUGUCAUUGAUAGAGGAAGUGUGAGAGCAUGCUAAUUGUGCAGGGAAGAGAAAUAAAAUGAAAACGAAAACGAAAAUGAGAAACAAAAGAGAAGAAUGUUAUGAUCUCAUGAUAAUGUCGGCCACCAGCCAGCACCCACAGGAGUAUACCUAUAGGCGGUCCAAAGAUUAUCUAGCUAGGUUGGUAAAAAGCAAGGCCGCCUCAUAGUUGAGGAAGAUGAUGUGCAACCAAUGAAGAAGAUAUAUUAGGAUGGAACUCGAGGCAUUUUGUGGAUUAGUAUCUAUAGUUUUUUGAUGCCUAUAAAGCAGAGCCAAGCCGCCGCCUCUCCGCCGAGAAAGAAGGAUCCCGAUCUCCGCCGUGGUCGACAAACAGCGCGAUGGGCGGAGCACCCAGCCGGUAGGCUCAUCCCCUUCUCUGAUCCACUCCGGCGGCGGCCAUCGUUGGAAAGAGAUGCAGACGAGAGGAAGAGAGCCUCCCCCAAGCUCUAUCUAGGUGAUGCACGAGCGACGACCACCCUUCCUGUUAUUGCCUCCAUGGCUGGCUGCUCAUCCCCAGGAACCUCCUCCCCUCUCACGUGCGCCACACUCUGGGAUUAAGUUGGAACACAGGUAUCUAGGGCAGGGCGUGGUCACAUUGCAGGCAGCAAGGAGCAGCGCAAAGUUUUCUCGGCCGUGCCCUGCAUCGAGGAGGAACACAGGUAUGUACAAAUCGAGGAGGAAAACAUGUAUUUUUCUGUUUGUUAUUUUCUAACUUUAUGCUUCACCUGUCCUGAAUUAUACGUAUACUCAUGUUGUCAGAUACAUAGGUAUACAUAUACAUAGCUAUGGAAGACACGAUUUACUGAUACAUAUCUGAAUGUUAUAGCUAUAAAGAUACCUGAUUGUUAUAGCUGAAGGUAACAAAGAAAGUGGUAUGGAUGAAUGGUGUCGUUUGUUUACCCAUGCUGUGGUUGAAAUCGUUGUUUGGUUCCCAGGUUGAACAAAUCUGACAUCUGUAAAUCAUCGAUGUUUUUCUGGAAGUAGUACAGUAGGUUUAAGAUUGGGCGAUGAUUCAUUCAUUCGACUACUUAUAAUUUUGGUUUCUACAAUUUCAAGAGGCUAACAAUUCCACUUGGUGUCUUAUCUCUAUGAUUCUAACUAUCAAAUAACAUUGUUUUGAAGUGUAGAUGUUCCGGGAUUGCUAGCUCCUGCCAGGUGAUCAGAAUUACUGCUUUGUUUAUUACUCAACGAUGUCGGACACUGGUUUCUCUAAAUAUCUUUUACAAGUACAGUUUCUACUUUUUUCUGCAGAAAUACUACAUGGUAGUCUUGAAGUAAAUACCAAUCAUGUGAUCCGAUAUGUUGUUUCAGAACAAUAGACCAUCAAUAUUAUUUUCGCCUCGGGUUCUAGAGGAGGACAUCUAAUUAAGAGAAAACUUUGGUGGGAUAGAGACAGAAGUUUGCUAUAUUUCACAAUACCCAAACAGAAUUUCAUUGCUGAUUCUUCUGCCCUGAACUUUGCCCAUGCCAAUUACAUUUUGUAGACCCUUUUUAAGGAAACUGCUUCGUUUACACCAUCCCAUUAGCAUGUCUAUUAGCUGUAAUGAAACUUAAACAGACACUUCUAGAAUUAGCAAGAAAAUUGAUGGUGGGAUCUAGCAAUGCCGGUAGUGCCUCCUUUAGGAUUACAAAAUCGUUAAUCCUAUCUUCGCUUGCAUGUGACUGAUGGUGAUGCUACACAAGUUCUGAAGGCAGUGCCCUCCCCUUCAGCAGGAGAUCUUGCUGGUUCUGCAUGGCACAACUGGAUUAAAUAUGCUACAGCAAGCGAAGGAGUUCAACGAUGUUGUUGGAAUCAAAGGAUUCAUCCUAACGAAAUUAGACGGGACUGCUCGUGUUGGAUGUGUGGUGAGUGUUCAUACACGAACUUGGAGUUCCAGCCAAGUUUGUUGGCAUCGGCGAAGGGGUGGAAGAUCUCCAACCUUUUGAUGCAGAAGCAUUUGUUGAAGCCAUUUUCCCAUAAAUUUGACCCAGUUAUUAGUGUUUCUCAUGUAACAAGAUUUUGGCUAACAUGCUACUCCCUCCGUUUCUGAAUAUAUGUCUUUUUAGGAAUUCUAAUAUGAACUACAUAUGAAGAAAAAUGAGUGAAUCUACACUCUAGAAUAUGUCUACAUUCAUCCGUAUGCAGUCCAUAUUCAAAUCACUAAAAAGACCUAUAUUUAGGAAUGGAGGGAGUAGAACUUGGUAGAAGCAAUUUUUUCAACAAUUACAGAUUUUUUGGUUCAGUCGUCGACUCGUCUGCCUGACUUGUUUCUAUCGUUGAUCCUAACUAUUCACAGAAA